Molecule: ribosomal RNA, 301 nt
Filed under: uncultured bacterium
Lineage: Bacteria
Description: partial 16S ribosomal RNA
Rfam family: Bacterial small subunit ribosomal RNA
Source: RNAcentral
CAGUCGCCGCGGUAAUACGAAGGGUGCAAGCGUUAAUCGGAAUUACUGGGCGUAAAGCGUGCGUAGGCGGUUUGUUAAGUCUGUUGUGAAAUCCCCGGGCUCAACCUGGGAAUGGCAAUGGAUACUGGCAAGCUAGAGUGUGUCAGAGGAUGGUGGAAUUCCCGGUGUGGCGGUGAAAUGCGUAGAGAUCGGGAGGAACAUCAGUGGCGAAGGCGGCCAUCUGGGACAACGCUGACGCUGAGGCACGAAGGCGUGGGGAGCAAACAGGAUUAGAUACCCCAGUAGUCCCUGUCUCUUAUAA